Molecule: ribosomal RNA, 1042 nt
Filed under: uncultured bacterium
Lineage: Bacteria
Description: bacterial SSU rRNA
Rfam family: Bacterial small subunit ribosomal RNA
Source: RNAcentral
CCUACGGGAGGCAGCAGUGGGGAAUCUUGCGCAAUGCGCGAAAGCGUGACGCAGCAACGCCGCGUGGGGGAAGAAGGCCUUCGGGUUGUAAACCCCUUUCAGUUGGGACGAAGCUUCGCCGGUGAAUAGCCGGCUGGAGUGACGGUACCUUCACAAGAAGCCCCGGCUAACUACGUGCCAGCAGCCGCGGUAAUACGUAGGGGGCUAGCGUUGUCCGGAAUCAUUGGGCGUAAAGCGCGUGUAGGCGGUUCGGUAAGUCCGCUGUGAAAGUCGGGGGCUCAACCCUCGAAAGCCGGUGGAUACUGUCGGGCUAGAGUACGGAAGAGGCGAGUGGAAUUCCUGGUGUAGCGGUGAAAUGCGCAGAUAUCAGGAGGAACACCAAUUGCGAAGGCAGCUUGCUGGGACGUUACUGACGCUGAGACGCGAAAGCGUGGGGAGCAAACAGGAUUAGAUACCCUGGUAGUCCACGCCGUAAACGAUGGGCACUAGGUGUGGGGGGUGUCGACUCCCUCCGUGCCGAAGCUAACGCAUUAAGUGCCCCGCCUGGGGAGUACGGCCGCAAGGCUAAAAUUCAAAGGAAUUGACGGGGGCCCGCACAAGCAGCGGAGCAUGUGGUUUAAUUCGACGCAACGCGAAGAACCUUACCUGGGCUUGACAUGUGGGUGACCGGCGUGGAAACACGCCUUCCCUUCGGGGCACCUUCACAGGUGGUGCAUGGCUGUCGUCAGCUCGUGUCGUGAGAUGUUGGGUUAAGUCCCGCAACGAGCGCAACCCCCGUCGCAUGUUGCCAGCAUUUAGUUGGGGACUCAUGCGAGACUGCCGGUGACAAACCGGAGGAAGGUGGGGAUGACGUCAAGUCAUCAUGCCCCUUAUGUCCAGGGCUACACACGUGCUACAUUGGCGCGUACAGAGGGCUGCGAUACGGCGAGGUGAGCGAAUCCCUUAAGCCCGUCUCCGGUUUCGGAUGAGCUGAAACCCCGCCCUCCAUGAGGCGGAGUUGCUAGUAUCGGCGGAUCCAGCAUUGCCGCCGGGUGAAUACGUU